Schizosaccharomyces pombe (fission yeast) is the source of this 810-nucleotide non-coding RNA. NCBI's taxonomy places the organism in Eukaryota, Fungi, Ascomycota, Schizosaccharomycetes, Schizosaccharomycetales, Schizosaccharomycetaceae. The record is from the annotation of a GenBank genome assembly.
CACACGAAUAGCCGCUGGCUAUAUCUAAUAUUCUUUCUCUUUUCAUUUCUUUUUUCUCAAAAACAUAUUUCUUUCUCUACCAUUUGCAUUUAUAUGAGUGUAUUACUUUGAAGCUUUGAUUUUUUUUGUUUCGCGGUAUACUUAUUGAUUAUUCGCUAAUACUGGUACUUGUUUCUCUUAUUUUUUUUCUGUUUCUCCUUUAUUUGCUUUUUAAGCAACCUUUUAAAUCUACCUGUGAAAUAAAUAUCAUCGCCUUUUUUCAUUUUCUUUUUUCAUUUCCACAUUCUUUUCUCUUCUUACUCCUCUGUGAUACUAUAUUUUGGGUCGUUAGAACGCAUUGACUUCAAUCUACUUUCUCUUCCCUGCAUUUUUACCAAGCCUUCCGAAUAUAUUUAUUCCAGUUUUUCUAUAUUCUUUUUUUUUAUUUUUUUUACUUCCAUUGUACUCCUCAUAAUCAUUAUUAUCUUGGAAAUUUAACUUUCCCUUUUCAUUUUUUUCUUCUCUAAAACUCCUUCUUUCACUGUCGACCAUACUGUUGACUUUUCUCCUCUUCUUUUAUAAGAUAAAAUACACUUCUACGCGUCUUUAGAAUUCUUUGAUUGAUUAUUCUUUCGUACUACUUUGAAUUGUAUACUUUGCUUUUUUGGUCAUACUCUUGUUCAUUUCACUUUGUUUUAUUCUCCAUCAAUUUCUUGGAGUAAGUCUAAUACUCUUGUUCGGUAUCUUUACUUAGUAAGCUUAAUUUUUUAAAAAAUUAAAAAAAAAAAAAUUUUUACCAUUGUUAGGCUCAUAUUCCUUUCCACAUCAUUC